GACGAACGCUGGCGGCGUGCUUAACACAUGCAAGUCGAACGGAAAGGCCCUGCUUUUGUGGGGUGCUCGAGUGGCGAACGGGUGAGUAACACGUGAGUAACCUGCCCUUGACUUUGGGAUAACUUCAGGAAACUGGGGCUAAUACCGGAUAGGAGCUCCUGCUGCAUGGUGGGGGUUGGAAAGUUUCGGCGGUUGGGGAUGGACUCGCGGCUUAUCAGCUUGUUGGUGGGGUAGUGGCUUACCAAGGCUUUGACGGGUAGCCGGCCUGAGAGGGUGACCGGCCACAAUGGGACUGAGGAACGGCCCAGGAUCCUACGGGAGGGAGCAGUGGGGAAUAUUGCACAAUGGGCGGAAGCCUGAUGCAGCAACCCCGCGUGCGGGAAUAAGGCCUUUGGGGUGUAAACCGCUUUUGCCUUGUACGGAGCCGGAGUGACGGUAAUGGGUAAAAAAGCAACGGCUAACUACGGG
RNAcentral lists this ribosomal RNA (468 nucleotides) under uncultured bacterium. RNAcentral's name for it is "partial 16S ribosomal RNA". It matches the Rfam family "Bacterial small subunit ribosomal RNA", at positions 28 to 507 of the family's 1533-position model. The record is from RNAcentral.